GUACAUCCAGAGAACUUAGCAGAGAUGCUUGGUGCCUUCGGGAACUCUGAGACAGGUGCUGCAUGGCUGUCGUCAGCUCGUGUUGUGAAAUGUUGGGUUAAGUCCCGCAACGAGCGCAACCCUUAUCCUUUGUUGCCAGCGGUUCGGCCGGGAACUCAAAGGAGACUGCCGGUGAUAAACCGGAGGAAGGUGGGGAUGACGUCAAGUCAUCAUGGCCCUUACGGCCAGGGCUACACACGUGCUACAAUGGCGCAUACAAAGAGAAGCGACCUCGCGAGAGCAAGCGGACCUCAUAAAAUGCGUCGUAGUCCGGAUUGGAGUCUGCAACUCGACUCCAUGAAGUCGGAAUCGCUAGUAAUCGUAGAUCAGAAUGCUACGGUGAAUACGUUCCCGGGCCUUGUACACACCGCCCGUCACACCAUGGGAGUGGGUUGCAAAAGAAGUAGGUAGCUUAACCUUCGGGAGGGCGCUUACCACUUUGUGAUUCAUGACUGGGGUGAAGUCGUAACAAGGUAAGCGUAGCGAG
RNAcentral lists this ribosomal RNA (526 nucleotides) under uncultured bacterium. RNAcentral's name for it is "bacterial SSU rRNA". It matches the Rfam family "Bacterial small subunit ribosomal RNA", at positions 982 to 1509 of the family's 1533-position model. The record is from RNAcentral.